AGAGUUGAUCUGGCUCAGGACGAACGCUGGCGGCGUGCCUAACACAUGCAAGUCGAACGAGAAUCUCUGGAACGAGACUCGGUCAAGGGAAGGAGAGGACAGUGGCGGACGGGUGAGUAACGCGUGAGCAACCUGCCCUUCAGAGGGGGACAACAGCUGGAAACGGCUGCUAAUACCGCAUAACAUAUCUGUAAGGCAUCUUAUAGAUAUCAAAGAUUUAUCGCUGAAGGAUGGGCUCGCGUCUGAUUAGCUUGUUGGUGGGGUAAUGGCCUACCAAGGCGACGAUCAGUAGCCGGACUGAGAGGUUGAACGGCCACAUUGGGACUGAGAUACGGCCCAGACUCCUACGGGAGGCAGCAGUGGGGAAUAUUGGGCAAUGGGGGGCAACCCUGACCCAGCAACGCCGCGUGAAGGAAGAAGGCUUUCGGGUUGUAAACUUCUUUGACGAGGGACGAAUGAUGACGGUACCUCGAAAACAAGCCACGGCUAACUACGUGCCAGCAGCGGC
This 508-nucleotide ribosomal RNA is filed under the name uncultured bacterium. RNAcentral's name for it is "bacterial SSU rRNA". It matches the Rfam family "Bacterial small subunit ribosomal RNA", at positions 8 to 518 of the family's 1533-position model. The record is from RNAcentral.